CGCCGGCGACCGGCGCACGGGUGAGUAACACGUAUGCAACCUGCCCUCUUCAGGGGGACAACCUUCCGAAAGGGAGGCUAAUCCCGCGUAUAUCGGUUUCGGGCAUCCGAGAUCGAGGAAAGAUUCAUCGGAAGAGGAUGGGCAUGCGGCGCAUUAGCUAGACGGCGGGGUAACGGCCCACCGUGGCGACGAUGCGUAGGGGUUCUGAGAGGAAGGUCCCCCACACUGGUACUGAGACACGGACCAGACUCCUACGGAAGGCAGCAG
This 267-nucleotide ribosomal RNA is filed under the name uncultured bacterium. Its description in RNAcentral is "partial 16S ribosomal RNA". It matches the Rfam family "Bacterial small subunit ribosomal RNA", at positions 86 to 354 of the family's 1533-position model. The record is from RNAcentral.